CGCAGCUUACCAUGCAGUCGAACGGUAGCAGGAAGAAAGCUUGCUUUCUUUGCUGACGAGUGGCGGACGGGUGAGUAAUGCUUGGGAAUCUGGCUUAUGGAGGGGGAUAACUGUGGGAAACUGCAGCUAAUACCGCGUAUUCUCUGAGGAGGAAAGGGUGGGACCUUAGGGCCACCUGCCAUAAGAUGAGCCCAAGUGGGAUUAGGUAGUUGGUGGGGUAAAGGCCUACCAAGCCUGCGAUCUCUAGCUGGUCUGAGAGGAUGACCAGCCACACUGGAACUGAGACACGGUCCAGACUCCUACGGGAGGCAGCAGUGGGGAAUAUUGCGCAAUGGGGGGAACCCUGACGCAGCCAUGCCGCGUGAAUGAAGAAGGCCUUCGGGUUGUAAAGUUCUUUCGGUAAUGAGGAAGGGAUGUUGUUAAAUAGAUAGCAUCAUUGACGUUAAUUACAGAAGAAGCACCGGCUAACUCCGUGCCAGCAGCCGCGGUAAUACGGAGGGUGCGAGCGUUAAUCGGAAUAACUGGGCGUAAAGGGCACGCAGGCGGACUUUUAAGUGAGAUGUGAAAUCCCCGAGCUUAACUUGGGAACUGCAUUUCAGACUGGGAGUCUAGAGUACUUUAGGGAGGGGUAGAAUUCCACGUGUAGCGGUGAAAUGCGUAGAGAUGUGGAGGAAUACCGAAGGCGAAGGCAGCCCCUUGGGAAUGUACUGACGCUCAUAUGCGAAAGCGUGGGGAGCAAACAGGAUUAGAUACCCUGGUAGUCCACGCUGUAAACGCUGUCGAUUUGGGGAUUGGGCUAUAUGCUUGGUGCCCGAAGCUAACGUGAUAAAUCGACCGCCUGGGGAGUACGGGCCGCAAGGUUAAAACUCAAAUGAAUUGACGGGGGCCCGCACAAGCGGUGGAGCAUGUGGUUUA
This 915-nucleotide ribosomal RNA is filed under the name Pasteurella multocida. RNAcentral describes it as "bacterial SSU rRNA". It matches the Rfam family "Bacterial small subunit ribosomal RNA", at positions 45 to 948 of the family's 1533-position model. The record is from RNAcentral. Lineage: Bacteria; Pseudomonadati; Pseudomonadota; Gammaproteobacteria; Pasteurellales; Pasteurellaceae.